CCUCGAUCCCCUUUCCUCCCCCCUCGCUAGGUUUCCUCCAGGCCGCCGCCGGUCCCUUGUGCGCAGCUCCUCGGCGCGGCUCCCUCCGGCGACAUGGCGCGCGGGUAGGGUCCCUCCUCCUCCGCUGCUCCUCCCGCUGGCGUGACCCGCCCCCGCCCCGGUCUCCAGCAGCAGCAACAGGCCCGGCCGGCACUGUACUCCGGCGGACGCUACCAAACUCCGGCCGGCCCUCACUGCGGACGGAUCCAUCAGCUCGUCUAGCAAGGCGGUCACGCGCAGCGGCACACCGGGGACGAUGAAGCCCGGCUCCCGCAAGCGCCGCGCCUCGUCGCCUGCGCCGUCGGCUCCCGUCACGCUGCCGCCGCCGGGCUUCGUGGCGGACAGGGAGGAGGCGGCGGCCCGCGUGGAGCGGCUCCUCCAGUACCAGUUCAACAAGCGCUCCCUGCUCGAGGAGGCGCUCACCCACCAGUCCUUCGCCGGCGGCGGCGCCGCCUCGUACCAGAGGCUCGAGUUCGUCGGGGACGCGGCGCUCGGCCUCGCCUUCUCCAACUUCCUCUACCUCACCAACCCCACCGUCGGCCCCGGCGCGCUCUCCACGCUCCGGGCCGCCAACAUCUCCACCGAGAAGCUGGCCCGCGUCGCCGUGCGCCACGACCUCUACCCGCUGCUCCGACGCAACUGCCCUCGUCUCGAUCUCUUGGUAGGACAGUUUAUCCAGUCAGUGAAACAAGAGUUACAGGAUGACCUUGGCACUACGCCCUAUGGUGGCACUGUAUUUAAGGCUCCCAAGGUGCUUGCUGAUAUUGUUGAGGCCAUUGCCGCUGCUGUCUAUGUGGAUUGCAACUUUAAUCUUGAGAAGCUCUGGAAGGUAACAAGGUUCCUCUUUGAGCCCAUUGUCACGGCAGAAACAAUAGAUGAGCAACCCGUGUCUACGUUGCAUGAGCUGUGCCAGAAACAUGGGAAAGAUAUAAAAUUCAAGACUUGGCAGAAGGGUGGAACAACGGUUGUAAAUGUAUUUGUUGGCGGGGCACUUGUUGGGAUGGGCUCCUCAGAGCAGAUGGUAAUUGCUAAGCUCAAUGCCACACGGGAUGCAUUAAGCAAGCUUCUUGGUGGAGGCAAUCAACAAGUGUUGACAAUUGGAGUUGGCCAUGGAUCAGAGGUUGAGGUUGGAGAGCUUAGGGAAUGCAAGCAGAAGCUUAUUGAGCAGUGCAGCAGGAAGCAUUGGCCAAAACCCAUCUUUAAGUUAGAGAAGGAAGAAGGCCCGGCACAUGAUAGGACAUUUGUUUACUCCGUUCAGGUAGAAACCCAAGGUGGUAUUUGGGUAACUUUAAGUGAUAAGAUGUCAAGGGUAAAGGAUGCGGAGAACUCUGGCGCGCAGAAGAUGUUGGAACAUCUAUUGAAAUUGGAUCCAUGCACUUGAAUUCUGACGCAUCCUGGUGGUGACUACUAGGAGUAGGAAGGAGAUCCUAGAAGCCUACAUCGUGGUGGUGACUCUUAGCAUGUAGGUGGGAGAUGAGCUCAAGAGAAUAGAAGGAAACGGUGGUGAAGGGAGAACCAAAGAGGUGAAUGAGGAUGAAAAAGAUGCACCGGAUUUUCUGCUGUGGGUUCAUCCUGUCCAUGCCGAUGAAAUCAUAUAGUUUAAAAAGCGCUGUUAUGAGAUUUUUGUCGCAAAAAAGAGCAUUGGGACAGAAGUUAGCCUUCCUAUUUAUCGGUGUAGCACUCCGAUGGUCAGAUGCAGUUUUAUACUCGUCAGUUUUUUUUAGCCAAACAGAUACUUUAAAGCCAUGUAUAUCGGUGUAGAAUCCAGUGUUAAGACUGAAAAUUUGUUUAUAAGCUUGAAAUAGCAUGUCCAUCUCGAUAGUAAUGACAUGGGCUUCUUUUACAUAAAUAUCACGUAGAAAGUUGUAAGGAUGAGAAAUAAAUUUCCACGUAAAUAAAAUAAAAUCAGAAAGUAACUAUGAAUAAAUUAGUUAAAUUAACAAACUAUACAUAUACUAUGAUUAGGAGAUGGUAUAAUAUUUGCCCACAACCAUAGGAUUGAUGGUUAUGAAAUUUAAAUAUAUUUUUUGGUGAGCUUAGAUCAAACGAACCUCAUCCUAACUCAUGUUUUCUUAUAUUGGUAUAGAUUUGCUUAGUCCGUUCAAGAAAUUCUCUGGUUUGUGGUUGUUGAACUGUGCUUUUUCAACAGUUGCUUUUAUAAACACUCUAGGAAAACCUUAGAAGAUGCAAUUUUCUUCUGUUAAACAAGCAGCGAAAUUGGCAACCCGAGUUAUCACAACCCGCUCAGGUCAUUUUCGAUUCAGUGAUUCACACAAUAACAAACAAAAUAUAGGCCUUCGUUCGCGGUCAAUGAACUAUGUCGUGACGAGCUAUGUUUAUGAUAUACGGAAAUUUAGCCACAUUUUAGGACAGUAAAACUGAGCAGCUUUCCAACCAUCUAACGCCCUGCGCGUUUCUGGACAUCCAUUUUCGUGACUUGGGCAACCUUGAAUGUUGUCUGUUGUCUACUCUGGCUUUCACCAUACAUUCUGAUUCCUGGGCCAAAAAGUCCUAGAGGGCUGCUUUUCCGGAGGAAAAUUUGAAGCCCUAUGGUAAACUAGGCUGAGAGAGAGAGGGAGAAAGGAGGGAGGGGGGGAGAGGAGGAGAAGGAGAGGGAGAGGGAGAGAGAUGGGGGUGGGGAGCGAGCUGACGCGGACGGUCUCUGCUAGAGAGAGGAGGUGAUGUAUCAAUCGGUCCCACGGUUUAGGGCAAGGAGAGCCUGCGCGGGAGAUGUAGGCCGACACCAUGGCUGUUUGGCUGAGCACAACUGCCCCGCUGGGAUUUGAAGAAGCCAUCAUCCUUCAGUUUCUCUGCAGGCAUUCAUGGCAGGUGAUGUGCCCAUCCUUCCGUUGACUCGUUACAGGUGAUGUUCAUACUGGUUGUGGUCAAUUUAUUUCGGCAGAUCUUGGAGGUCAACUGAUAAUUUCCGAUGGCCUCUGGACAGAAUAGUGGAGAGGGAGCAGGCUUUGGAAGCUUGUGUAUUUGUUGGGAUUAAGGUUUUGAUCAUCCAAGAGGUUGAGAAGCUGCUACCCUGCUCGCUGAUGUAAGCAAAGAAGUCUAUAAGAAUGUAAUUCAUGUAUAUAUUUGCACUAGUAACCUCUUGAACUAUGGAAUAUAAGAAUACAUGUCUCACGAAAUUUUGCAGAAUAGUGAUUUUUCACUGAGAUGGUAAAACAGGUAUGUUGUGACACCAUGCACAACAUACCAGUUUUACCAUCUCACAUGCAAAAAAAGCUCCUCCCCUCGAGCCGCUCCUGUGAGCGAUUUCGGGGGCAAACCCUAGUGGUCCCGGCUCAACCCUCCCCUCCCGGCCUCCUUUCCCCGCCACAAGGCGCUGCCGGGCAAAGCCCGGCCGGCAUACGUUGCGGCGGGGCGCUCUCCCCUCUCGGCACUUACGGUGCAGGACGUGGGUCGAACGGCGCGCGGGGGCGUCAGGCUGCUGUGUGGGGCUCGAUGGCGUGGUGGUGGGCGUGCGGAGCGGCCGUUCCUCUGCCUGGCGACGGGUGGCGGCAUUCCGGGGCUUCGUCGACGCGCGGUGGCGCGGGGGUCCCCACGGCCAGAUCUGGCGCCGGCGGCCUGUCGGCUGGCCGGGGCUGCGGACAGCAAGGUCAACACGGGGAAAAGGGUUAGUUUUGGUUAAUGUUUUGGAGGUGGUUUGUGUUUUGCUGGACUUCAAGAAAAGGGACAAUUUUGUUAAUUCUCAUGGCCGCGGGCAGGUGAAGACGGUGGUUCUUCCGGGCUAUCCGGCUUGUCGUCGACGGUGGGCAUGGUGGCAAUCUUGGUGAGUGGAGUCGAGUGGUGGCGAUGGCCCCCCUGCUUCCUCGUGCAUGUUCAGGCCGCAAGACGGCUGAUGAACAGGACUGUUCCAAAUCGACCAUUGGGGAGCUCUGCUGCGGCCAACCGUGAACUUGCUCUGCUGUAAUCUCUCUAGGACAGUAGAAGGCACACAGUUUGUUGAUUGUGGCUGCCAAGACCCCCUUAAUUAGUUAUCCUUGGGUGACAGUCAAUUGAUGGAGCCAUAGCCAGUCAGAUGAACAUCCUCGUCCUCACAACUCCGGGCGGUUGCUAUUUUGGCAGCGUGGACUCCGUGCAGAUGCGAUCGUCUUGCCUGCAAGAGGAGAGGACAUGUUUUCAUCUACAGUGGACUCACAGCCCAGUGCGCGUAUGACUCAUUACUAUGUUGUUCUUCCUGUGUGUAUGUAACAUCGAUCGUGUGGUUGGCUACUGGAAUUCAAUCAACAGCUGUGGUCAGCGUUAGCGAGAUCAGGGUGCCAGCAUGGCUACUUACAGUUUAAGAAGCUUUGUUCGCAAUGACAGUGAGAGGUUUCCAUUUUCUUCUUUUUGUUUCCCUGGCCGUUUCUACUUUUCUUGUGUUCUCCCCUCCUGCCAGCGUGACUCACGAAAAUGAGACGAGGCUUGGUAUUCGCUGGUUUACUGUCUGUUUGUAGUUUGGUUGUUGUUGUUCAGUUCAGUUUAAGAAGUUUUUGUCGCAA
This is an RNA transcript of Triticum aestivum (bread wheat), 4532 nucleotides long. It is a transcript of the gene named ribonuclease 3-like protein 2, with no coding region annotated. The transcript has 10 exons. NCBI's taxonomy places the organism in Eukaryota, Viridiplantae, Streptophyta, Magnoliopsida, Poales, Poaceae. The record is from RefSeq and is a predicted model, not a curated record.